This 360-nucleotide ribosomal RNA is filed under the name uncultured bacterium. RNAcentral's name for it is "partial 16S ribosomal RNA". It matches the Rfam family "Bacterial small subunit ribosomal RNA", at positions 338 to 715 of the family's 1533-position model. The record is from RNAcentral.
CCUACGGGAGGCAGCAGUGGGGGAUAUUGCACAAUGGGGGGAACCCUGAUGCAGCGACGCCGCGUGGGUGAAGAAGCGCCUCGGCGCGUAAAGCCCUGUCAGCAGGGAAGAAAAUGACGGUACCUGAAGAAGAAGCCCCGGCGAACGACGGGCCAGCAGCCGCGGUAAUACGUAGGGGGCACGCGUGAUCCGGAUUUACUGGGUGUAAAGGGGGCGCAGACGGCGAUGCAAGCCAGGGGUGAAAGCCCGGGGCGCAACCCCGGGACUGCUCUUGGAACUGCGUGGCUGGGGUGCAGGAGGGGCAGGCGGAAUUCCUGGUGUAGCGGUGAAAUGCGUGGAUAUCAGGAGGAACACCGGUGG